GCAUCGUUCGUCUAGCCCGGUUUAAGACACUGGCUUGCCAUGCCGGAAACAUCGGUUCAAAUCCGAUACGAUGCUCCA
Molecule: transfer RNA, 78 nt
Filed under: Acidobacteriota bacterium
Lineage: Bacteria; Pseudomonadati; Acidobacteriota
Description: Acidobacteria bacterium (soil metagenome) tRNA-Gly
Rfam family: tRNA
About the family: Transfer RNA (tRNA) molecules are approximately 80 nucleotides in length.
Source: RNAcentral